GCAUAUCCAUAAGCGGAGGAAAAGAAACCAACAGGGAUUGCCCUAGUAACGGCGAGUGAAGCGGCAACAGCUCAAAUUUGAAAUCUGGCUCUCGGGCCCGAGUUGUAAUUUGUAGAGGAUGCUUUUGAUGCGGUGCCUUCCGAGUUCCCUGGAACGGGACGCCAUAGAGGGUGAGAGCCCCGUCUGGUUGGAUACCAAAUCUCUGUAAAGCUCCUUCGACGAGUCGAGUAGUUUGGGAAUGCUGCUCUAAAUGGGAGGUAUAUGUCUUCUAAAGCUAAAUACUGGCCAGAGACCGAUAGCGCACAAGUAGAGUGAUCGAAAGAUGAAAAGCACUUUGAAAAGAGAGUUAAAAAGUACGUGAAAUUGUUGAAAGGGAAGCGUUUAUGACCAGACUUGGGCUUGGAUAAUCAUCUGGGGUUCUCCCCAGUGCACUUUUCCAGUCCAGGCCAGCAUCAGUUUUCGCCGGGGGAUAAAGGCUUCGGGAAUGUGGCUCCCUCCGGGGAGUGUUAUAGCCCGUUGCGUAAUACCCUGGCGGGGACUGAGGUUCGCGCAUCUGCAAGGAUGCGGCGUAA
This 572-nucleotide ribosomal RNA is filed under the name Fusarium sp. 12NF. Its description in RNAcentral is "eukaryotic LSU rRNA". It matches the Rfam family "Eukaryotic large subunit ribosomal RNA", at positions 38 to 633 of the family's 3401-position model. The record is from RNAcentral. Lineage: Eukaryota; Fungi; Ascomycota; Sordariomycetes; Hypocreales; Nectriaceae.